AUAUUGCACAAUGGGGGAAACCCUGAUGCAGCGACGCCGCUUGAGCGAAGAAGGCCUNNNGGUCGNACAGCUCUGUUUCGAGGNAAGNUAAUGACGGUACCUCGGGAGGAAGCACCGGCUAUCUACGGGCCAGCAGCCGCGUUAAUACGUAGGGGGGAAGCGUUAUCCGGAAUCACUGGGCGUAAAGGGUGCGUAGGCGGCCAAUAAAGUCAGGGGUGAAAGGCUACGGCUCAACCGUAGUAAGCCUUUGAAACUUAUUGGCUUGAGUGCAGGAGAGGAGAGUGGAAUUCCUAGUGUAGCGGUGAAAUGCGUAGAUAUUAGGAGGAACACCAGUGGCGAAGGCGACUCUCUGGACUGUAACUGGCGCUGAGGCACGAAAGCGUGGGGGGCGAAC
RNAcentral lists this ribosomal RNA (394 nucleotides) under uncultured bacterium. RNAcentral describes it as "partial 16S ribosomal RNA". It matches the Rfam family "Bacterial small subunit ribosomal RNA", at positions 361 to 773 of the family's 1533-position model. The record is from RNAcentral.